AUUUGGAAUGUCCAGAUCGGUUUAAUUGAAAAGUUUUGGUGAUUAAUCUUGACCGUCCAUCUCAGUAGUCAUCAGCUGAAGUGCCUGGUCGUCAAGAACCAUUUGGACCAGGUGAUUAAUCUUGACCGUCCAUCUCACUACCAAAGAAAGGAGCAAAGGUUGCAGAAUACGAGCAAAUAUACGUAGCUUUAUUGAUACGUCUUUAAACUGUAGCCGAAGGACAUGAAAGCCGUAGCUAAAAUUCCAUUACAGAAAAAAAUCAGACGAGGUCUAUUUCAUUCUCGCGGCUGGCUAUUCCCGUUCUAUAUUCCCCCUUUCAUCGCAGAGGUCUGCGUUCGCUCUCUUCCACCAACCCCUUUCUAAAAUCAUUCAAAUCUACCAGGCCCUAACCCUAGAAUCAACCCAAUUUCACUCCAUCUUCUUACCAAAUCCCUCUACGUCACCUCAAUCCACGGUCUCUCAACUCUUCCCAGCCCUCGAUUACCAAAAUCCAUCUCGUUUUCGCCAUCGGUUCGCGGUUCCUUCUCCCAAGCCCGAUCUCUGAACAAGAGAUAUCACGAUCAGAGCAAGCUCCAUCCCGGAAAGCGCCAGCAAGAGCACCAAAUCGAUCAGCCUAUUGUAGAUGCUGCAACUUGGAUCUCUAUUUGGGCUCUGGUUUUCCCCUUCUGUCUCUCUCUCAUUUUCCCUCUCUCUGUCCGACUCUCGAUCUGCAAUCCUUACAUUGCAUCCACCAACCGCUGAAACCCUACCGCAUCUCCGUCAUCAACAGCAAUAGACGUUGUUGAGCUCCAACCUAUUGCCAAUCUGAAGAGGUGAUGUUGCCUUUUGAUUUGUCUAUUCAUUUUAGUUUUGAAUCUCUGUUUUUGAGAAAAUCUGACGUUGUUAGUGUAGGAUAAUGUGAGUAAUGGUUUCAAACGUCACAUUUUUGAAGGAUUUUUGCCCCCUGAUAUUGCUGAUUUGGCUUUGAAAGUUGGUGUUUCUAUUCUCCGAGUAUGGAUUCUGAGGAAUAGCUCUUGAUUUUCUUUGUUUCAGUUCAAAUUUGGCUUUUGAUUCUUUUGCGUGGUGCGGAUCUGAACCUUUUGCUGUAGAUUUUUUAUGACUUGACACCAUCUGUUUAUGGAUAUUUUAUAGGAUCUUUUAAAAAGUCACUAUUUUUGUAGGAUUAUUUUAAGAAAAUCUGUAAAUUUUACUUUGAAACUUGACAUUUUACAUGAAAAGUAAGCUUGGGAUGUUUGUCCUUGGAGAUUUCUUUUUCUUCAAGAUUUUGUGUAACGGUUUUUUAAGUUCUGAUGCAUCAGGACAUAUGGCGUCUGAUGUUUCCAGUCUCUGUAGGAGUGGGCGCUAUGGUUUACUGAUUGCACUGUGGAUGGAUGAUUCCCCAAGCUUCCUAGAUUGGAAGGAUCCUAAUCUCUUGACCUGCAAAUUGUUAUGGGAAAAAAAAAUGCAGAUGUUGACUUGGAAAAUAUGGAUAUUGAUUGGAUGAUUUAGAUACUCCAACCUUGAUAGUUUUUUUAGGGUGCACUGUGGGUCCCACUUUCAUGGUUGUUGCUUUAGGACCCCCUGGUUUAGGUCAUGGUUGCUUGAAAUCAUGUUAUUAUUGUGUCCUCAUGCCUUGACUGGAAGCAAGUGGGAUGCAUACUUCAGUUAUCCAGAGGAUCCUGGUUUUAGGCUUUUGCAUUUUGGAAGUUUAUGGAUAACUCUGAAGCUGAUGAUGAGUCAAAGGAUCCUGGUGCUCUGGUUGCCGUUGGUUGUUUGUGUUCUAUAAGCACAAUUCUUGAAUCUGUGAGCCAGAUUCCCCAUCUUUUUAUACAAAUUGAGCCCAUUUUAUUGCCUAUAAUGAGAAGGAUGUUAACUACAGAUGGACAAGAUGAAAAACGAAGCAAGUUGCUAGAUUGGGAGAAGCACUUCAACAUCAUCUUAGGGAUCGAUGGAGGCCGUCUGUAUCUUCACCAAGAUUUGAGGUUAUUCAUUGAGAACUUGGAGGCUUGUCGGCUGGUUUCGAAGCUUCGGAUUCAACUAUAGUAAUCAUUUCAGGCAGUU
RNA transcript from Magnolia sinica, 2040 nucleotides. It is a transcript of the gene named importin beta-like SAD2 homolog, with no coding region annotated. Lineage: Eukaryota; Viridiplantae; Streptophyta; Magnoliopsida; Magnoliales; Magnoliaceae. The record is from RefSeq and is a predicted model, not a curated record. The transcript is spliced from 4 exons.